GAAGUAAAUAAAAAUGAACUUCUAAUUCAUUAAUUUAUAGAAAUUUUUCUAUAUUACUUUU
RNAcentral lists this transfer RNA (61 nucleotides) under Atta laevigata. RNAcentral describes it as "tRNA-Ser". Lineage: Eukaryota; Metazoa; Arthropoda; Insecta; Hymenoptera; Formicidae. The record is from RNAcentral.